Scatophagus argus is the source of this 1068-nucleotide long non-coding RNA. RefSeq lists it as uncharacterized. The transcript is spliced from 5 exons. Lineage: Eukaryota; Metazoa; Chordata; Actinopteri; Scatophagidae. The record is from RefSeq and is a predicted model, not a curated record.
UUCUGUCCAUAUAGUGUAAGUGGAGCUUCGGUGCAGCUGGUUAGCCAACGGGUUGUCGGCAGGUUGCUGGUAGUUAGCAUGUCUGCAGCAAAGUGUAAUGCUGCAUUAGACAGGACAACGUCGCUGCACGCCUGCAAGACGGGAAGUACGAAAAUCCUUUUAUCCUGACUCGGAAGUGCGAGCACUGGUAGGGAAAUGGCUCCAACAGGGAAAGCAAAAGGACUUUGAGUUCCACCUUCCAAGACUCCCAGACCAGAAAAUGUGUCUGGGCUGGACCAUUAACCACAGAGCUCCAUACUUGUGCUGCACACACAACCACUGACGUUCCCCCUGACACAAGAAGUGGCCCAGACCUGCUUGAAUCAAACUAAACAGUGACGUCUUGUCAAAACACACUUGGAAUGUAUAGCACACCUAAAACAACUGUUUCAAUGCAAAAAAAUAAAUCUACAGCGUUAAAGAUAUAUGUUCUGAGGUAAACGAAAUCCCAAAAUAAAGCAGAGGAGCAGAGACAUUCUGUGUGACAGACAAAUGGCGCUUUCCCUCUCCCUGAAUCAGAUUUCCAGAGGAGGAGGAGGUGGAGGAGGGGAUGCAGUGGUGGCUCCCCUGGCCUACUUUCCUCCAUCCACAAGCCAGUUCAUCCUCCUGGGAACACUGGAGGGCAUCAAGAAGAUGAACGUUGCACGUCUCCACCCUGUCUCACAGUUUGAUCCCGUCCUGGAGUCAUGGGGGGACAGGAAGCCAUGAGACAUGGCACAUUUCCCCCCAGGGAUGUUACGCUUAUCAGCAUAAUGGGAGGCAAACUGCACAGUUGGGGGAAAGACUUCCAGGGCUUUGUUUGUUUGUUCAAACAAAUGAAAUAAAAAUCUAAAAUAAAUGAAUCAUAAAAGCAAUCAUCAGUGCUUUGUGGCUUCUCAUCCUACUGUGAUUUCUGCUCUGUUUAUUUUUUAAAGCUACCAAAUAACUUUUUAAUUGCCUUUUUGCAAAUGAGCCUAAUCUGAACAGUUAAUGUUCAAUCACUGAGUCUAUCUGAUGCCUGCAGAAAUUUUACUUUUAAAGGUGCAAUAA